RNAcentral lists this ribosomal RNA (494 nucleotides) under uncultured bacterium. Its description in RNAcentral is "partial 16S ribosomal RNA". It matches the Rfam family "Bacterial small subunit ribosomal RNA", at positions 28 to 507 of the family's 1533-position model. The record is from RNAcentral.
GACGAACGCUGGCGGCGUGCUUAACACAUGCAAGUCGAACGGAAAGGCCUGCUUUCCCUUGUGGAUUGCGGGUACUCGAGUGGCGAACGGGUGAGUAACACGUGAGUGAUCUGCCCCCAACUUGGGUAUAAGCCUGGGAAACUGGGUCUAAUUCCCGAUAGGACUGCAGGGUGGUGCCUGUGGGGGAAAACGAUUUUCUAGUGGUUGGGGAUGAGCUCCGGGCCUAUCAGCUUGUGGGUGGGGUAAUGGCCUACCAAGGCGGCGACGGGUAGCCGGCCUGGGAGGGUGGACGGCCAGAUUGGGACGGAGAUACGGCCAAGACUCCUCCGGGAGGCAGCAGUGGGGAAUAUUGAACAAUGGGCGGAAGCCUGAUGCAGCGCCGCCGGGUGGGGGAUGACGGCCUUCGGGUUGUAAACUCCUUUCGAACGCGAGGAAGCAACGUGGUUGGAAGGGUGGUGACGGUAGUGGUAGAAGAAGCACCGGCUAACUACGUG